Molecule: ribosomal RNA, 252 nt
Filed under: uncultured bacterium
Lineage: Bacteria
Description: partial 16S ribosomal RNA
Rfam family: Bacterial small subunit ribosomal RNA
Source: RNAcentral
UACGAAGGGGGCUAGCGUUGCUCGGAAUCACUGGGCGUAAAGCGCACGUAGGCGGAUCUUUAAGUCAGGGGUGAAAUCCCAAGGCUCAACCUUGGAACUGCCUUUGAUACUGGGGAUCUCGAGUCCGGAAGAGGUUGGUGGAACUGCGAGUGUAGAGUGAAAUUCGUAGAUAUUCGCAAGAACACCAGUGGCGAAGGCGGCCAACUGGUCCGGUACUGACGCUGAGGUGCGAAAGCGUGGGGAGCAAACAGG